This 2903-nucleotide ribosomal RNA is filed under the name Escherichia coli. Its description in RNAcentral is "23S ribosomal RNA". It matches the Rfam family "Bacterial large subunit ribosomal RNA". Lineage: Bacteria; Pseudomonadati; Pseudomonadota; Gammaproteobacteria; Enterobacterales; Enterobacteriaceae. The record is from RNAcentral.
GGUUAAGCGACUAAGCGUACACGGUGGAUGCCCCGGCAGUCAGAGGCGAUGAAGGACGUGCUAAUCUGCGAUAAGCGUCGGUAAGGUGAUAUGAACCGUUAUAACCGGCGAUUUCCGAAUGGGGAAACCCAGUGUGAUUCGUCACACUAUCAUUAACUGAAUCCAUAGGUUAAUGAGGCGAACCGGGGGAACUGAAACAUCUAAGUACCCCGAGGAAAAGAAAUCAACCGAGAUUCCCCCAGUAGCGGCGAGCGAACGGGGAGCAGCCCAGAGCCUGAAUCAGUGUGUGUGUUAGUGGAAGCGUCUGGAAAGGCGCGCGAUACAGGGUGACAGCCCCGUACACAAAAAUGCACAUACUGUGAGCUCGAUGAGUAGGGCGGGACACGUGGUAUCCUGUCUGAAUAUGGGGGGACCAUCCUCCAAGGCUAAAUACUCCUGACUGACCGAUAGUGAACCAGUACCGUGAGGGAAAGGCGAAAAGAACCCCGGCGAGGGGAGUGAAAAAGAACCUGAAACCGUGUACGUACAAGCAGUGGGAGCACGCUUAGGCGUGUGACUGCGUACCUUUUGUAUAAUGGGUCAGCGACUUAUAUUCUGUAGCAAGGUUAACCGAAUAGGGGAGCCGAAGGGAAACCGAGUCUUAACUGGGCGUUAAGUUGCAGGGUAUAGACCCGAAACCCGGUGAUCUAGCCAUGGGCAGGUUGAAGGUUGGGUAACACUAACUGGAGGACCGAACCGACUAAUGUUGAAAAAUUAGCGGAUGACUUGUGGCUGGGGGUGAAAGGCCAAUCAAACCGGGAGAUAGCUGGUUCUCCCCGAAAGCUAUUUAGGUAGCGCCUCGUGAAUUCAUCUCCGGGGGUAGAGCACUGUUUCGGCAAGGGGGUCAUCCCGACUUACCAACCCGAUGCAAACUGCGAAUACCGGAGAAUGUUAUCACGGGAGACACACGGCGGGUGCUAACGUCCGUCGUGAAGAGGGAAACAACCCAGACCGCCAGCUAAGGUCCCAAAGUCAUGGUUAAGUGGGAAACGAUGUGGGAAGGCCCAGACAGCCGGGAUGUUGGCUUAGAAGCAGCCAUCAUUUAAAGAAAGCGUAAUAGCUCACUGGUCGAGUCGGCCUGCGCGGAAGAUGUAACGGGGCUAAACCAUGCACCGAAGCUGCGGCAGCGACACUAUGUGUUGUUGGGUAGGGGAGCGUUCUGUAAGCCUGUGAAGGUGUGCUGUGAGGCAUGCUGGAGGUAUCAGAAGUGCGAAUGCUGACAUAAGUAACGAUAAAGCGGGUGAAAAGCCCGCUCGCCGGAAGACCAAGGGUUCCUGUCCAACGUUAAUCGGGGCAGGGUGAGUCGACCCCUAAGGCGAGGCCGAAAGGCGUAGUCGAUGGGAAACAGGUUAAUAUUCCUGUACUUGGUGUUACUGCGAAGGGGGGACGGAGAAGGCUAUGUUGGCCGGGCGACGGUUGUCCCGGUUUAAGCGUGUAGGCUGGUUUUCCGGGCAAAUCCGGAAAAUCAAGGCUGAGGCGUGAUGACGAGGCACUACGGUGCUGAAGCAACAAAUGCCCUGCUUCCGGGAAAAGCCUCUAAGCAUCAGGUAACAUCAAAUCGUACCCCAAACCGACACAGGUGGUCAGGUAGAGAAUACCAAGGCGCUUGAGAGAACUCGGGUGAAGGAACUAGGCAAAAUGGUGCCGUAACUUCGGGAGAAGGCACGCUGAUAUGUAGGUGAAGUCCCUUGCGGAUGGAGCUGAAAUCAGUCGAAGAUACCAGCUGGCUGCAACUGUUUAUUAAAAACACAGCACUGUGCAAACACGAAAGUGGACGUAUACGGUGUGACGCCUGCCCGGUGCCGGAAGGUUAAUUGAUGGGGUCAGCGCAAGCGAAGCUCUUGAUCGAAGCCCCGGUAAACGGCGGCCGUAACUAUAACGGUCCUAAGGUAGCGAAAUUCCUUGUCGGGUAAGUUCCGACCUGCACGAAUGGCGUAAUGAUGGCCGGGCUGUCUCCACCCGAGACUCAGUGAAAUUGAACUCGCUGUGAAGAUGCAGUGUACCCGCGGCAAGACGGAAAGACCCCGUGAACCUUUACUAUAGCUUGACACUGAACAUUGAGCCUUGAUGUGUAGGAUAGGUGGGAGGCUUGGAAGUGUGGACGCCAGUCUGCAUGGAGCCGACCUUGAAAUACCACCCUUUAAUGUUUGAUGUUCUAACGUUGACCCGUAAUCCGGGUUGCGGACAGUGUCUGGUGGGUAGUUUGACUGGGGCGGUCUCCUCCUAAAGAGUAACGGAGGAGCACGAAGGUUGGCUAAUCCUGGUCGGACAUCAGGAGGUUAGUGCAAUGGCAUAAGCCAGCUUGACUGCGAGCGUGACGGCGCGAGCAGGUGCGAAAGCAGGUCAUAGUGAUCCGGUGGUUCUGAAUGGAAGGGCCAUCGCUCAACGGAUAAAAGGUACUCCGGGGAUAACAGGCUGAUACCGCCCAAGAGUUCAUAUCGACGGCGGUGUUUGGCACCUCGAUGUCGGCUCAUCACAUCCUGGGGCUGAAGUAGGUCCCAAGGGUAUGGCUGUUCGCCAUUUAAAGUGGUACGCGAGCUGGGUUUAGAACGUCGUGAGACAGUUCGGUCCCUAUCUGCCGUGGGCGCUGGAGAACUGAGGGGGGCUGCUCCUAGUACGAGAGGACCGGAGUGGACGCAUCACUGGUGUUCGGGUUGUCAUGCCAAUGGCACUGCCCGGUAGCUAAAUGCGGAAGAGAUAAGUGCUGAAAGCAUCUAAGCACGAAACUUGCCCCGAGAUGAGUUCUCCCUGACCCUUUAAGGGUCCUGAAGGAACGUUGAAGACGACGACGUUGAUAGGCCGGGUGUGUAAGCGCAGCGAUGCGUUGAGCUAACCGGUACUAAUGAACCGUGAGGCUUAACCUU